RNAcentral lists this ribosomal RNA (1793 nucleotides) under Duplacrorhynchus megalophallus. RNAcentral's name for it is "SSU rRNA". It matches the Rfam family "Eukaryotic small subunit ribosomal RNA". The record is from RNAcentral. Lineage: Eukaryota; Metazoa; Platyhelminthes; Rhabdocoela; Polycystididae.
CUGCCAGUAGUCAUAUGCUUGUCUCAAAGACUAAGCCAUGCAUGUACAAGUUCACACCUUAAUAUGGUGAAACCGCGAAUGGCUCAUUAAAUCAGCUAUGGUUCCUUAGAUCUUACAUCCUUACUUGGAUAACUGUGGUAAUUCUAGAGCUAAUACAUGCCAAAAUAUCUUGACUUAAUCGUCAAGGUGGAUUUAUUAGAACAAAACCAACCAGUGCUCGCACUGUUUGUUUGUUGACUCUGGAUAACUUUUCUGAUCGUAUGGCCUCGUGCCAACGACGAAUCUUUCAAGUGUCUGACCUAUCAGCUUUCGAUGGUAGGUUAUAUGCCUACCAUGGCUAUGACGGGUAACGGGGAAUCAGGGUUCGAUUCCGGAGAGGAAGCCUUAGAAACGGCUACCACAUCUAAGGAAGGCAGCAGGCGCGCAAAUUGCCCACUCUCAGACCGAGGAGGCAGUGACGAAAAAUAAUGAUGCAGGACUCACAUGAGGCUCUGUAAUCAGAAUGAGUACAAUUUAAAUCCUUUAACGAGGAUCUAUUGGAGGGCAAGUCUGGUGCCAGCAGCCGCGGUAACUCCAGCUCCAAUAGCGUAUAUUAAUGCUGCUGCGUUUAAAAAGCUCGUAGUUGGAUUUCAGGUUUGGGACUUGCUGUCAGUACUCAAUACUGUUCGGCUCGUUCCGCCUAAUCAGCUGACUGUUACCAUUUGUGCUGUUUGUUCAGUGCUUUUGGUACUCAGCACGUUUACUUUGAAAAAAUUAGAGUGCUCAAAGCAGGCCUUGUGCUUGAAUACUGUUGCAUGGAAUAAUGAAAUAGGACUUCGGUUCUAUUUUGUUGGUUUUCGGAAUUGAAGUAAUGAUAAAAAGAGACAGACGGGGGCAUCUGAAUGGCACCGGGAGAGGUGAAAUUCGUUGAUCGGUGCCAGUCAAACUACUGCGAAAGCAUUUGCCAAGGAUGUUUUCAUUAAUCAAGAACGAAAGUCAGAGGUUCGAAGACGAUCAGAUACCGUCCUAGUUCUGACCAUAAACGAUGCCAACUGACAAUCAGGGUUUAUUAUAUUUUUUCACCCUGGCAGUCCCUGGGAAACCUUUAAGUCUAUCGGUUCCGGGGGGAGUAUGGUUGCAAAGCCGAAACUUAAAGGAAUUGACGGAAGGGCACCACCAGGUGUGGAGCCUGCGGCUUAAUUUGACUCAACACGGGGAAACUCACCCGGCCCGGACACUGUAAGGAUUGACAGAUUGAUAGCUCUUUCAUGAUUCAGUGGUUGGUGGUGCAUGGCCGUUCUUAGUUGGUGGAGUGAUUUGUCUGGUUAAUUCCGAUAACGAACGAGACUCUGGCCUGCUAAAUAGUGAACACAUAUUAUUGUGUGCUUCACUUCUUAGAGGGAUUCGCUGCUUAUAGUGGCAAGAAAAAGAGCAAUAACAGGUCUGUGAUGCCCUUAGAUGUCCGGGGCUGCACGUGUUCUACACUGACGAUAUCAAUGAGUUUCUUCCUGAGCCGAGAGGUUUGGGGAAUCUUUUGAAUUAUCGUCAUGUCAGGGAUUGGGGCUUGUAAUUAUUCCCCAUGAACGAGGAAUACCCAGUAAGCACAUGUCAUCAGCAUGUGUUGAUUACGUCCCUGCCCUUUGUACACACCGCCCGUCGCUACUACCGAUUGAAUGGUUUAGUGAGGCUUUUGGAUCGGAAUUGAUGAGAUGGCUUGCCAUUUCGUCGACUCUGAAAAGAUAGUCAAACUUGAUCAUUUAGAGGAAGUAAAAGUCGUAACAAGGUUUCCGUAGGUGAACCUGCAGAUGGAUCAA